Homo sapiens (human) is the source of this 1679-nucleotide long non-coding RNA. Ensembl annotates it as adipocyte associated metabolic related lncRNA 1. Its record names the gene ASMER1. NCBI's taxonomy places the organism in Eukaryota, Metazoa, Chordata, Mammalia, Primates, Hominidae. The record is from Ensembl.
GGCCCUUCCACCAUGUGAGUAUACAGAGAGAAGGUAUGAUCCAUGGAUCAGGAAACCAGCCUUCCCUAGACAUGGAAUCUGCUGGCACCUUGAUUUUGAACUUCCCAGACUCCAGAACUACUCCUGCCCCUGCCACGAGAACACACCCUUUCCAGUUUGCUGGAGAAAUAUAAGAGAAGUCCAGUGAAAGAGAGCUGAGUUUCCCCAAUGAUGCCAUCAAGAUGAACUAACUACAGUUAACCAGCCAGCUGAUAGCAGAUGCAUGAGUGAGCCCAGCUGAGAGCAGUGCCUACAAUAGUUCCUGGUAUGUAGAAGGUAUACAAUAAAUAUUGGCGGAGUGAAGGAACAAAUGGGAUUUGCUUGAUUCUGCUGCAGAAGACUAAGAAAAAGACAUAAAUGAAUAAAUAACUAGUAGAAUGUUAACACAAUCAGAAAAAGGACCAUUUCUUUUCAUUUGGAUGUCUCAAAUCUAUUUGUUGUUUUUGUUGUUGUUGUUUUUCUGGCUGGGCUUGAAAUGUAGGCAUGCAGCCAGGAGGCUCCAUGCUGACUAAUGAGAUAGAGGUACCCAUUUAGCCCAGCAAUAUUCAUACAUUGUAUAUGCAUUCAUUUUUCUCUAGUGACUUUUUAAUAUAUUUUGGUGAAGAUAUUCCCAAGAUAAUGAAGAUAUGUUGAGUGGGCAUUAAAAGUGAUGAGUCUUUUUUUCCAUUAUCAAAGACAAAUACAGGUGUGUGAUGUAUGCAGAGAAUUAGAAGUAGGGAAAAAAAUGAGGGAAUCCAAAAUAAUGAAAAGAAAUUAAAGCUCUCCAAUAAUCGAAAGAAAGGCCAAACUGAAAACAUAAAUCUCCAGACUCUGCAAGGAUUUAUACUGAUGUGGGGCAUGUGGACCAAUGGCUUUCAGGAUGUGAUUCAUUUUGAAAAAAGUGUCAUUUCCAUUGCCAAGUAGAGUUCAUGGUUUAGUGAAAAUUUCAUCUUCAGUCUGAUCACAUGAGCCAAAUUCUGGCCCUAUAUAUUCUGAUGUGAGGAAUGAAGUAUUUCUAGUUUAUUUGUGAGAUUCCAAGCAUAAUAUCCAGGAGGGUUAGUCACAUUACAGCUAAGGUAAGAUUUUGUUAUAUUUGUGUUAGUCCUUAUUCUAGGCACUGAAAUUUCCUUGUAACAUUACUUGAAAAAGCAUAAGAACUAUUUAAUGAAAGAAUGCUUUGGCUCUGCCCAAAUGACCAAGAAAGACAUCAACUCACUUAUAACACAGUCUUGAUGGUCAGACCAAAAGGUACGUGAUUGUCAAUUAUUUUCAGCAGAGACUCAUAGAACAACAAAGCAGGGAAGAAUCUGAACAGGGAUUGGACUUUAAAGAACAAGUAUCAUUGAUCAAUUAAAAAAAAUGGUCAUGGGCUGGGCACAGUGGCUCACACCUAUAAUCCCAGCACUUUGGGAGGCCGAGGUGAGAGGAUUGCUUGAGUCCAGGAGAGACCAGCCUGGGCAAUAUAGUGAGACCCCAUCUCUACAAAAUUUUUUAAAAUUAGCUGAGCAUGGUGGCAGAUGCUUAUAGUUCCAGCUAAUUGGGAGAAUGAGGUAGGAGAAUCACUUGAGGUUGGGUGGUGGAGGUUGCACUGAGCUGAGAUCACUCCACUGCAUGCCAGCCUGGGAGAUAGAGCAAGACCUUGUCUCAAAAAAAAAAAAAAA